AUGGGCUCGCGGCCUAUCAGCUUGUUGGUGAGGUAAUGGCUCACCAAGGCGUCGACGGGUAGCCGGCCUGAGAGGGUGACCGGCCACACUGGGACUGAGACACGGCCCAGACUCCUACGGGAGGCAGCAGUGGGGAAUAUUGCACAAUGGGCGGAAGCCUGAUGCAGCAACGCCGCGUGAGGGAUGACGGCCUUCGGGUUGUAAACCUCUUUUAGCAGGGAAGAAGCGAAAGUGACGGUACCUGCAGAAAAAGCACCGGCUAACUACGUGCCAGCAGCCGCGGUAAUACGUAGGGUGCAAGCGUUAUCCGGAAUUAUUGGGCGUAAAGAGCUCGUAGGCGGUUUGUCGCGUCUGCUGUGAAAUCCCGAGGCUCAACCUCGGGUCUGCAGUGGGUACGGGCAGACUAGAGUGCGGUAGGGGAGAUUGGAAUUCCUGGUGUAGCGGUGGAAUGCGCAGAUAUCAGGAGGAACACCGAUGGCGAAGGCAGAUCUCU
Molecule: ribosomal RNA, 493 nt
Filed under: Microbacterium sp.
Lineage: Bacteria; Bacillati; Actinomycetota; Actinomycetes; Micrococcales; Microbacteriaceae
Description: bacterial SSU rRNA
Rfam family: Bacterial small subunit ribosomal RNA
Source: RNAcentral